RNAcentral lists this long non-coding RNA (2384 nucleotides) under Salmo salar (Atlantic salmon). RNAcentral describes it as "lncRNA (ENSSSAG00000090222.1)". Lineage: Eukaryota; Metazoa; Chordata; Actinopteri; Salmoniformes; Salmonidae. The record is from RNAcentral.
GUGUUCCACCUGUGCUGGUUGCCAUCACGUUAGUGGGAAGGUUUUUUGCCUGCCCAGGUGCUCUUUAAGAGUAGCUGGCCCAGUCCUCUUGAGAGAUGUAGAGGGACCCUCCCUAUCUGAUUUCUAGAAAAAUAUUCCUUUGUCUGAUUUAGUUUUGUGCCACCUUUUUGGCAUUGAAAUAACCUGGUGGAGCUUGUGACCUCCUGUGGGAACUACAGCCAGUACCGCCAGCGUAUCUCAGAGAGCACGGGCUUUCGCUUCCCCAUCCUGGGAGUGCACCUCAAGGACCUGAUAGCAGUGCACGUGACCCUGCCCGACUGAAGCGACUGCGAGAAGACCCAGGUCAACCUGGCCAAGACCCAUCAGCUGUAUUCAAUCCUCCAGGAGCUAGCGCUGAUCCAGACCACACCACCCAGUGUUGAUGCCACCAUGGACCUGCUCAACCUGCUCAUGUAUCUCUGGACCAGUACCAUUCAGAGGAAGAGAUCUAUCAGCUGUCCCUGCAGAGGGAGCCACUCACCGCCAGGCGAGGUGAAAUUUCAGUGUUUAACAAUUCCACCACUGAUGAAGACGGCUACAUCUCUCAGGAGGAAAUUGAGAUCAUUAGGACCAACUUCCCAUACCUCUGCAAGUUUGAUGACCUGGACAAGAGUCACCUGUGGGGUGAGCUGUCACAAAGACUGUCGCAGCCGCCUUGCUGUUGAGUGCUGCAAACCAACAAAGAGUGCCAGUCACGAUCCUUCAGUGUGCCUGAUAUGGUUUAGCCCCUACACAUUCUACAUCACAGAGCCAUUGCAGAGGAAGCACCUGACUCUCUGGAGGAUGAAGUGUUUGAUGUCCACCUUUGAGAACAGUCUCACUUCGUCGGGCGUGGACUCCACAGGGAUGCUGGCCCAUGUUGACUCCAAUGCUUCCCACACUUUUGUGAAGUUUACUGGAUGUCGUUUGGGUGGCGGACCAUUCUACACAUAGGAAACUGUUGAAUGUGAAAAACCCAGCAGCGUUGCAGUUCUUGAUACACUGAAACCAGUGCGCCAGGCACCUACUCCCUUACCCCGUUCAAAGGCAUUUAAAUAUUUUGUUUUGCCCAUUCACCCUCUGAAUUGCACAUAUACACAAUACUUGUCUCAAAGCUUAUAAAUCCUUAUUUAACCUGUCUCCUCCCCUUAAUCUACACUGAUUGAAGUGAAUUUAACAGGUGACAUCAAUAAGGGAUCAUAGCUUUCACCUGGUCAGUCUGUCAUGGAAAGAACCUGUUCCUAAUGUUUUGUACACUGUGUAUGUCAACAUCUCCUAGUGUGAGCAAUGUUCCUGAUCAAAUGCUCUAUCUGCAAGUGUUUUGAUGUAGUCUCUAAACAAUUCCUAUCUAAAGUCAUCCUUUUUAGACUGCAUUUCUCUUUUUCCUGAAUUAAUUUUGUGGUCCACUUACUAGUUAAUUUUCACAUCAGAAUGAAGACCAACAUUGACGAGAACACAAACUUUUCCCAUGCUGCCAAGCUGAACUUAAAUGGGGACCGACAGCAAUGACACUCUGAAGAUAGAAAUGUAUUUGCUCCUGUUUGGAUAUACAAUGCACGCUAAGAACAUUGCAAUUUUCGGACUUUCUUAAGAAUGUCCACAUUUUCCCCAAAGUUUUAGAGCUAUUGAACCUGAGGAAGGAUUGUGUAACUAUAUGUUUACUUGCUAAUGAUAAUUUGAUGAUCCAGUCAAUACAUGUUGUGCUGAUUUGUGUAUUUGUUUUCUGAUGAAUUAAUCCUUCAUUCUCUCAGCCAUAGUAUUAUUUGCCCAGAGCUUUCACAGUAGGUAAACCUAGAGUAGAUGCAUAUCUCUGUAUGUGCUUGUAUACGGUUCAUGAUUGCUGAAGGUUGCUUCUCCGCAAGGUGGUGAGGUUUUGUGUCAACACUGGAUAGCAUAGGCUACCACUGGGAUUUAGCAUUCUGUAGUUCAUUCACAUUCCCUGUUUUUAGUGUAGCCCUAUGUUUGUGUAUAACAUGUGGGAGUGGAUUGUUGAUGACAAGUUAAAUUGAGGUUCUUUCCUCAGCUAGCCAACCAUGUUCAUGUUUGAUUACAUUGUAAUGUGGUACAAUUUAAAAGGCAGAAAGAUCUUCUAUGGUUCUAUAUCAUAGAAUAGAAACGGCAUCAUGCCCAACUACUUUGGAUUUUUUACUACUUGUGUACAUACAAUAUGCUGAGGACUUAUUUGUCUCGCUCUGUUACUCCCAAGUGAUGCUCCCAUGAGGGAAGGCAAUUAAUUUACUCUGAGCAGUGGUUUCUAGGAACUUCAAUACAUAGCUGAGACGAUUCUCUCCGGGAUUGUCACACUGUAAAAUGUGAUAACAGCACAAAUAUAGGCUACAUUUUAUACUUAAGCAAUAAGGUCCGAG